AUUGAACGCUGGCGGCAGGCCUAACACAUGCAAGUCGAACGAGUGGCGGACGGGUGAGUAAUGUCUGGGAAACUGCCUGAUGGAGGGGGAUAACUACUGGAAACGGUAGCUAAUACCGCCUACCAUCGGAUGUGCCCAGAUGGGAUUGGCUAGUAGGUGGGGUAACGGCUCACCUAGGCGACGCUCCCUAGCUGGGCUGAGAGGAUGACCAGCCACACUGUAACUGACACAAGGUCCAGACUCCUACGGGAGGCAGCAGUAGGGAUAAUUGCAAAAUGGGGGCAAGCCUGAUGCAGCCAUGCAGCGUGUAUGAAGAAGGCCUUCGGGUUGUAAAGUACUUUCAGCGGGGAGGCGUUACCCGCAGAAGAAGCACCGGCUAACUCCGGGCCAGCAGCCGCGGUAAUAC
RNAcentral lists this ribosomal RNA (406 nucleotides) under uncultured bacterium. Its description in RNAcentral is "partial 16S ribosomal RNA". It matches the Rfam family "Bacterial small subunit ribosomal RNA", at positions 30 to 526 of the family's 1533-position model. The record is from RNAcentral.